Molecule: long non-coding RNA, 358 nt
Filed under: Prunus persica (peach)
Lineage: Eukaryota; Viridiplantae; Streptophyta; Magnoliopsida; Rosales; Rosaceae
Description: long non-coding RNA (PPER_LNC000625)
Source: RNAcentral
GUGGGUUCAGUUGAAGCAAAUGCUUAUCCCUACUCUUCACCCCCACCACCACCUUAUGUUUAUAGCUCACCACCACCUCCUGUUCACUCUCCACCACCGCCAUAUGUCUACAUGUCUCCACCACCUCCGUCACCGUCACCACCGCCGCCUUAUGUGUACAAGUCACCACCACCACCAUCACCAUCCCCACCACCGACUUAUGAGUACAAGUCUCCCCCACCGCCUUCUCCUUCACCACCACCACCUUAUGUGUACAAGUCUCCACCUCCUCCACCAAAAGAACUACCUCCGUACCACUACAAGUCUCCACCACCACCUUCUCCUUCACCGCCGCCACCUUACCACUAUACAUCUCCUC